AGUAACACGUGGAUAACCUGCCUCAAGGCUGGGGAUAACAUUUGGAAACAGAUGCUAAUACCGAAUAAAACUUAGUAUCGCAUGAUAUCAAGUUAAAAGGCGCUACGGCGUCACCUAGAGAUGGAUCCGCGGUGCAUUAGUUAGUUGGUGGGGUAAAGGCUUACCAAGACGAUGAUGCAUAGCCGAGUUGAGAGACGGAUCGGCCACAUUGGGACUGAGACACGGCCCAAACUCCUACGGAAGGCAGCAG
RNAcentral lists this ribosomal RNA (250 nucleotides) under uncultured bacterium. RNAcentral describes it as "partial 16S ribosomal RNA". It matches the Rfam family "Bacterial small subunit ribosomal RNA", at positions 109 to 354 of the family's 1533-position model. The record is from RNAcentral.